CCCCAGCUAUAAUGUCAACAGCUUCCAGGAAUACAGCACGGCAAGCUGGACAGGGUGGACAAACGUCACCCCAACAGCAGUCUAUUAUGAUUAUCAAGGCCGUGAUUCCUUCUGUGGCACCAAUGGCACCAGCCRCCAGGGGCUGGGAGCCCUUGGGGCUGAGGCAAAAAAAGGGCACUUAAUUUGGAACAAUGGUACCCCAAARGCCUUGCCACCAGACGUCUUUUUGAUAUGUGGUGACAGGGCCUGGCAGGGGAUUCCAAAAAGUGUAAUGGGUGGUCCAUGUUAUCUUGGUAAACUGACRUUACUGSCACYGGAUCAAAAUUGGUGGAAACAUAUCACGGAGAAUGAGACCACCGUCCGCGGUAAGCGAGCAGCCAUAGGGCUCUCACCUGAUUGUAAUGAUCAAGUUUCCCUACGCAGUCCCACUGAAAGAGUGAUUUUGUCCUUCUUCGUGCCUGGAGCAGCGGCAGGCAACGCCCUGAACCAGAUCGGCCGAUUGGCUUGCUGGGCUGAGAAGCAAGCUAACGUCACCACUGAGAUAAUAGAGAGCCUCUUAGAGGAUCAAGGUAGUUUGCGACAUGCUAUUCUACAGAAAAAAAAAAACAAAAAAAACAGCAGUUAAGAGCUGAUCCAGCUCUAAAUGAAGUCAAAGAAAUUCAGAAAAGACCCCACUGAAAACUCUAGAGCACACUGAAAAAAAGUACCAAAGAGGGGGAAAUAAGUAAAAGGAAAAGGAUCAUAAAUGUAUCUAACUUGAAAUAAGCUUUAAAAAAGUAAAUGUGGCUCACUAUGAGUAAGGUUAAUGUAAAUAUAAUUUAUGAUAUAUGUAAGAUAAAUAUUUUAAGACAUAUAAAACUGAAAAUAAGAGUUGCAUAGUAAAUUGUUGUUGUUUUUAUUAUCAUGGACUAUAGGAGUCUGAUUCAUGAACCGAUUUAUUAUUGUGCUAGGUGCUGUACAAACAUAGAACAAAAGAUGGUCCAAAUAAAAAUUAUUUUAGAAUGUCA
RNAcentral lists this long non-coding RNA (1007 nucleotides) under Apteryx haastii (Great spotted kiwi). RNAcentral's name for it is "lncRNA (ENSAHAG00000010729.1)". Lineage: Eukaryota; Metazoa; Chordata; Aves; Apterygiformes; Apterygidae. The record is from RNAcentral.